RNAcentral lists this long non-coding RNA (406 nucleotides) under Numida meleagris (helmeted guineafowl). Its description in RNAcentral is "lncRNA (ENSNMEG00000002543.1)". Lineage: Eukaryota; Metazoa; Chordata; Aves; Galliformes; Numididae. The record is from RNAcentral.
UGGAGACCCCAAAGUUGGUGUUUUUUGGAUGGUGGAGACCCCAAAGUUGGGGUUCAUUGGGUGGUGGACCCCAAAGCGGGACUUGGAGACCCCAAAGUUGGGGGGUGGGGGGUGGAGAGCCUGAAGAUGGGGGGAGUUUGGGGGGUGGAGAGCCUGAAGUGGGGGUACAUUGGGUGGUGGAGACCCCAAAGUUGGGGUACAUUGGGUGGUGGACCCCCAAGGUUGGGGUUGGAGACCCCAAAGUUGGAGUUCUUUGAGCGGUAGUGACCCCAAAGUUGGGGUUUUUUGGGUAGUAGGCCCCAGAGUUGGGGUACAUGGGGUGGUGGACCUCGAAGUUGGGGUACGUUGGGUGGUGUUGGGGUUUGUUGGGUGGUGGGCCCCAAAGUGGGGGUUGGAGACCCCAGUG